CUGGGUGGCUAUGGCUAGGGUGUUCACCUCUUCCCAUUCCGAACAGAGAAGUUAAGACCCAUAGCGUUGAUGGUACUGCCGUAACAGGUGGGAGAGUAAAUUGCCGCCCGAU
Molecule: ribosomal RNA, 112 nt
Filed under: bacterium 336/3
Lineage: Bacteria; Pseudomonadati
Source: RNAcentral